GGGACAACAUUCGGAAACGGAUGCUAAUACCCCAUAGGUGGAUUGGUCGCAUGACGAAUUCAUUAAAGGUGGCUUUGCUACCACUCAUGGAUAGCCUCGCGGCGUAUUAGCUAGUUGGUAAGGUAAUGGCUUACCAAGGCAGUGAUACGUAGCCGACUCGAGAGGGUGAUCGGCCACACUGGGACUGAGACACGGCCCAG
Molecule: ribosomal RNA, 200 nt
Filed under: uncultured Carnobacteriaceae bacterium
Lineage: Bacteria; Bacillati; Bacillota; Bacilli; Lactobacillales; Carnobacteriaceae
Description: partial 16S ribosomal RNA
Rfam family: Bacterial small subunit ribosomal RNA
Source: RNAcentral